RNAcentral lists this ribosomal RNA (404 nucleotides) under uncultured bacterium. RNAcentral describes it as "bacterial SSU rRNA". It matches the Rfam family "Bacterial small subunit ribosomal RNA", at positions 355 to 776 of the family's 1533-position model. The record is from RNAcentral.
CAAGGAAUUUUCCCCAAUGGGCUCACGCCUGAGGGAGCAACGCCGCGUGGGGGACGACGGCCUUCGGGUUGUAAACCCCUUUUGGGCGGGAAGAGACUGACGGUACCGCCCGAAGAAGCCCCGGCUAACUCCGUGCCAGCAGCCGCGGUAAGACGGAGGGGGCAAGCGUUGUCCGGAAUCACUGGGCGUAAAGCGCACGUAGGCGGUGCGGUGCGUCGGUGCUGAAACCGCGGGGCUCAACCCCGCGCCGCGUGCCGAUACGACCGCACUGGAGGCAGGCAGAGGGUGGCGGAAUUCCGGGUGUAGUGGUGAAAUGCGUAGAGAUCCGGAGGAACGCCUGUGGCGCAAGCGGCCACCUGGGCCUGACCUGACGCUGAGGUGCGAAAGCGUGGGGAGCGAACCGG